This 253-nucleotide ribosomal RNA is filed under the name uncultured bacterium. RNAcentral describes it as "partial 16S ribosomal RNA". It matches the Rfam family "Bacterial small subunit ribosomal RNA", at positions 524 to 776 of the family's 1533-position model. The record is from RNAcentral.
UACGGAGGGUGCGAGCGUUGUCCGGAAUCACUGGGCGUAAAGGGCGCGUAGGCGGCCUGAUAAGUAGGGGGUGAAACCCUGCGGCUUAACCGCAGGGCUGCCUUCUAAACUGUCAGGCUCGAGCACAGUAGAGGCAGGUGGAAUUCCCGGUGUAGCGGUGGAAUGCGUAGAGAUCGGGAAGAACAUCAGUGGCGAAGGCGGCCUGCUGGGCUGUUGCUGACGCUGAGGCGCGACAGCGUGGGGAGCAAACAGG